RNAcentral lists this ribosomal RNA (492 nucleotides) under uncultured bacterium. Its description in RNAcentral is "partial 16S ribosomal RNA". It matches the Rfam family "Bacterial small subunit ribosomal RNA", at positions 29 to 507 of the family's 1533-position model. The record is from RNAcentral.
AGUGAACGCUGGCGGUAGGCCUAACACAUGCAAGUCGAACGGCAGCACAGUAAGAGCUUGCUCUUACGGGUGGCGAGUGGCGGACGUGUGAGGAAUACAUCGGAAUCUACUUUUUCGUGGGGGAUAACGUAGGGAAACUUACGCUAAUACCGCAUACGACCUACGGGUGAAAGCAGUGGAUCUUCGCACCUUGCGCGAUUGAAUGAGCCGAUGUCGGAUUAGCUAGUUGGCGGGGUAAAGGCCCACCAAGGCGACGAUCCGUAGCUGGUCUGAGAGGAUGAUCAGCCACACUGGAACUGAGACACGGUCCAGACUCCUACGGGAGGCAGCAGUGGGGAAUAUUGGACAAUGGGCGCAAGCCUGAUCCAGCCAUACCGCGUGGGUGAAGAAGGCCUUCGGGUUGUAAAGCCCUUUUGUUGGGAAAGAAAAGCAGCAGGUUAAUACCCCGCUGUUCUGACGGUACCCAAAGAAUAAGCACCGGCUAACUUCGUG